Molecule: long non-coding RNA, 930 nt
Organism: Solanum pennellii
Lineage: Eukaryota; Viridiplantae; Streptophyta; Magnoliopsida; Solanales; Solanaceae
Exons: 4
Source: RefSeq, a predicted model, not a curated record
AACAUAAGCUGGGCAGGUCUUUGUGGGGCAAGGCGUUGUGGGUUAAGAAUAGAAAAAAAUAUUAAGCUGGGCGUACCCGCCUAUCGCCAUCCCUAUGGGGAUCAAUGCAACAAAGGUUGCAUUAAUGGUCUUCUAGAAAACGGUUUUUUAUGGAAGUUCUCUACUAGUGCUACCAAGUCGAUUUCCCAACCGUGUUUCGAGGAAAUCCCCAUUUGAGAUUGUGAUUUGAAAUCUUACCGGAGACUUCAUAUCACAUUCCAAACGCAAGCUACGUGGGCCGCGAAAUCAGCCCGGCCCAAGAAUGAAAAGACACACACGGGCCGAGUUCAUACCCUUCUAAUUUUACCUGAACCUGUCUAUCUCCCCCGUUUCCGUCUUCUUCAGUUCCUUUCUUUCUCAGGCAAGAAUUUAAAGAAACGUGAUCAAGUUAUAGAGGGGAUGGAUUUAGUUGUGAUGAACCAGGGCGGGUAUUUGGUAUUUGGUAAAGAAAACUCGGGUUCGAGGGAAGAUAGGCAACUUCAUUUACAGGUCAGCUCCCUCCUAGCUGCCAAGAGUUGUGCCAUUGUUACCGGAUGUCAAUUAAUCAUAUGUCUACCAUGUGGCUCCAACGCGGUAUUCGAUUAGGCACACGUUGGCUCAAGAACUUCGUGUUCGAUAAUAAAUGGCUAAAGUGCAAAUUAAGGCGUAUAAUGGAAGAAGGUGAUAUGAUUAAUAAAUGGUUAUGCACGAGUGGCUUGUUCUUCUAAUGUUCUCUGCCAUCCACAGCAUAAUAAAGUGAGGUAGACCCUUAUACAACACGUUUUAAUUAAUGCUCAAUUGAUGAUUAUUUGCACCAAACACUUCUAAUUUCCCCCUAAUUAUUGUUAGUUAGAAAUAAACAAGUCUCAGAGGUUACUAGUGGAGGAUAUACAAUGCUAAAGGUUGGCAUAA